GUGGGGAAUAUUGGACAAUGGGCGAAAGCCUGAUCCAGCCAUGUCGCGUGUGUGAAGAAGGUCUUCGGAUUGUAAAGCACUUUAAGUUGGGAGGAAGGGCAGUAAGUUAAUACCUUGCUGUUUUGACGUUACCGACAGAAUAAGCACCGGCUAACUUCGUGCCAGCAGCCGCGGUAAUACGAAGGGUGCAAGCGUUAAUCGGAAUUACUGGGCGUAAAGCGCGCGUAGGUGGUUUUGUAAGUUGGAGGUGAAAUCCCCGGGCUCAACCUGGGAACUGCCUCCAAAACUGCAUGACUAGAGUACGGUAGAGGGUAGUGGAAUUUCCUGUGUAGCGGUGAAAUGCGUAGAUAUAGGAAGGAACACCAGUGGCGAAGGCGACUACCUGGACUGAUACUGACACUGAGGUGCGAAAGCGUGGGGAGCAAACAGGAUUAGAUACCCUUGUAGUCC
This 450-nucleotide ribosomal RNA is filed under the name uncultured bacterium. RNAcentral describes it as "partial 16S ribosomal RNA". It matches the Rfam family "Bacterial small subunit ribosomal RNA", at positions 354 to 796 of the family's 1533-position model. The record is from RNAcentral.